UCCUUCAACAUUUCACGGCUAUCAGACUCAGACUCAAACUCAAACUCGGGUUAAGACUCGAUCUUGGUUUGAGAUUCUAACAGAGAAGACUAGUGGUGGCGACAACUUACUUAAGCUGUCGAAGCCGCUCCUAGUCACAAAUUUCAGUGCAACCAUAGCUAUGGUGAUUUUCAGAUCAGAGGGAUCGUCGUUGCAGUUUGCUUUGAAUUCAAAGCCACCACAUGCAAUGUCAUUUGGUAUUCUUUUGGCUUGUAUUUUAUUUGGUUUCAUUUGUAAUAUGAUUAUGAUCUUAUUGCAAAAGGAAUCGCCAAUCGCUGCAAGCAUGGGGGGGCAUGCUGGCGCGUGGUUGUUCGUGAUUGGGUUCUUGACCAUGGUACAAAUGAUUCUAUCUCAUACCCUCUGGUGGAUUGUUUGGCCUGCUGGCGUUUUUAUCUUCCUAUCAUUUCUCUAUGUCCUUACAAAGAAUAGCCAUCAUGUGAAGAAGUUCUGUAAGGUGGAAAAGGGGACAACAUUGAGCGAGUUGGAGGCGAUGAUCAUGCCCGAGGAGGCCCCAAAUGGAGAAAACAUGCAACUGGUGUUCAACUAUAGGAUCCCAUAUUGGCAGUCCAAAUACGAAGUGAAGUAUGAUUUGUUACCAAUCGACAAUGAUAAGACUUUGGCUUUUGUCUUGAAUCAACCGAAAAGCUCAUCAUCAGAAUUUAUUUUGCAAUUUUAUGUGGACUGUAAGGAUAGCACGAUGGGCAACAUAACAUCGUCUGUGCAGUAAACUCAAGAAUAUUUUCCAACUACUCUUUAAUUAUAUGGAUGUGAAGAUUUUGCUGCAAUGAGGACAU
Non-coding RNA from Camellia sinensis, 833 nucleotides. The record is from RefSeq and is a predicted model, not a curated record. Lineage: Eukaryota; Viridiplantae; Streptophyta; Magnoliopsida; Ericales; Theaceae.